This 255-nucleotide long non-coding RNA is filed under the name Pan troglodytes (chimpanzee). RNAcentral's name for it is "long non-coding RNA NONPTRT011320". Lineage: Eukaryota; Metazoa; Chordata; Mammalia; Primates; Hominidae. The record is from RNAcentral.
GAAACUGAAGCAGAAAAGCUGAGAAGCAAAGCCAAGAUUUAAGUAUCUAAAGCUCCACUCUUUGAAAGGAUUCAAGGUUAUUCACACUGUACACAAGAACGAAGCCAUCAGCAAAUGAAAAAUAAUGCUUUGGCAGCUCCACGCCUUCCUGUAGACCUCUGGUGUCAUAAAGAUGUAACUGUUCUUUUACUCCUCGGUCUGUUUCUACUGAAGCCAUGUAUACAUCUUCCAUUGUUUCGCAAUCUUCCAUUCCUG